UCCCUGGUGGCUUAGAUGGUAAAGAAUCUGUCUGCAAUGCAGGAGACCCAGGUUCAAUCCCUGGGUUGAGAA
This 72-nucleotide transfer RNA is filed under the name Ovis aries (sheep). It matches the Rfam family "tRNA". From Rfam's summary of the family: Transfer RNA (tRNA) molecules are approximately 80 nucleotides in length. The record is from Rfam by way of RNAcentral. Lineage: Eukaryota; Metazoa; Chordata; Mammalia; Artiodactyla; Bovidae.